This 253-nucleotide ribosomal RNA is filed under the name uncultured bacterium. Its description in RNAcentral is "partial 16S ribosomal RNA". It matches the Rfam family "Bacterial small subunit ribosomal RNA", at positions 524 to 776 of the family's 1533-position model. The record is from RNAcentral.
UACAGAGGGGGCAAGCGUUAUUCGGAAUUAUUGGGCGUAAAGGGCGCGUAGGUGGCCGCAUAAGUCAACUGUGAAAUCCCAGGGCUUAACCCUGGAAGUGCAGCUGAUACUGUGUGGCUUGAGUCUCGGAGAGGAUGGUGGAAUUCCCAGUGUAGAGGUGAAAUUCGUAGAUAUUGGGAGGAACACCGGUGGCGAAGGCGACCAUCUGGACGAAGACUGACACUGAGGCGCGAAAGCGUGGGGAGCAAACAGG